CUAUUUUUGCAGUGAUCCGGUUCUGCCUACGCUCAUUGGGAGCACGGCGGAUGAAAAGGGAAGUCGGUGCAAUUCCGGCGCUAUCCCCGUAGCUGUAAAAAACCGGUCCGCCUACGCUAAAGCUUCGGCGGGCGAUGCCUGAACAACAACCACUGUCUCAAUGCUAAGCUUCGAAGAUGGGAAGGUGUUCAGCAAGGUUUAAGCCAGAAGACCUGCCAGAUCACUUAAACAACA
This 234-nucleotide non-coding RNA is filed under the name Sphingobacteriales bacterium. Lineage: Bacteria; Pseudomonadati; Bacteroidota; Sphingobacteriia; Sphingobacteriales. The record is from RNAcentral.